RNAcentral lists this ribosomal RNA (253 nucleotides) under uncultured bacterium. RNAcentral describes it as "partial 16S ribosomal RNA". It matches the Rfam family "Bacterial small subunit ribosomal RNA", at positions 524 to 776 of the family's 1533-position model. The record is from RNAcentral.
UACGUAGGGCGCAAGCGUUGUCCGGAAUUAUUGGGCGUAAAGAGCUCGUAGGCGGCCUGUUGCGUCCGCUGUGAAAUCCCGGGGCUCAACCCCGGGCCUGCAGUGGAUACGGGCUGGCUGGAGGCAGGCAGGGGAGAACGGAAUUCCUGGUGUAGCGGUGAAAUGCGCAGAUAUCAGGAGGAACACCGGUGGCGAAGGCGGGUCUCUGGGCCGAUACUGACGCUGAGGAGCGAAAGCGUGGGGAGCGAACAGG